RNAcentral lists this ribosomal RNA (636 nucleotides) under Bacillus sp. (in: firmicutes). Its description in RNAcentral is "bacterial SSU rRNA". It matches the Rfam family "Bacterial small subunit ribosomal RNA", at positions 67 to 686 of the family's 1533-position model. Lineage: Bacteria; Bacillati; Bacillota; Bacilli; Caryophanales; Bacillaceae. The record is from RNAcentral.
CGGACAGAAGGGAGCUUGCUCCCGGAUGUUAGCGGCGGACGGGUGAGUAACACGUGGGUAACCUGCCUGUAAGACUGGGAUAACUCCGGGAAACCGGAGCUAAUACCGGAUAGUUCCUUGAACCGCAUGGUUCAAGGAUGAAAGACGGUUUCGGCUGUCACUUACAGAUGGACCCGCGGCGCAUUAGCUAGUUGGUGAGGUAACGGCUCACCAAGGCGACGAUGCGUAGCCGACCUGAGAGGGUGAUCGGCCACACUGGGACUGAGACACGGCCCAGACUCCUACGGGAGGCAGCAGUAGGGAAUCUUCCGCAAUGGACGAAAGUCUGACGGAGCAACGCCGCGUGAGUGAUGAAGGUUUUCGGAUCGUAAAGCUCUGUUGUUAGGGAAGAACAAGUGCAAGAGUAACUGCUUGCACCUUGACGGUACCUAACCAGAAAGCCACGGCUAACUACGUGCCAGCAGCCGCGGUAAUACGUAGGUGGCAAGCGUUGUCCGGAAUUAUUGGGCGUAAAGGGCUCGCAGGCGGUUUCUUAAGUCUGAUGUGAAAGCCCCCGGCUCAACCGGGGAGGGUCAUUGGAAACUGGGAAACUUGAGUGCAGAAGAGGAGAGUGGAAUUCCACGUGUAGCGGUGAAA